UCUCCUGCAAUUUCACUGCUCAAUUCACUGUCAUUUAGGAGUUAAAUCACUUUGUUUCUGUUUAUGCAGCCCUAGCCACACCUCCCCUGGCUAUGACUGACAGAGCCUGCAUGAAAAAAAAAAUGGUUUCACUUUCAAACAGAUGUAAUUUACCUUAAAUAAUUGUAUCUCAAUCUCUAAAUUGAACUUUAAUCACAUACAGGAGGCUCUUGAAGGGUCUAGCAAGCUAUUAACAUAGCAGGGGAUAAGAAAAUCUUCAUUAAACAGAACUUGCAAUAAAGAAAGCCUAAAUAGGGCUCUCUUUACAGGAAGUGUUUAUGGAAGGCUGUGCAAGUCGCAUGCAGGGAGGUGUGACUAGGGUUCAUAAACAAAG
Pelobates cultripes (western spadefoot toad) is the source of this 373-nucleotide non-coding RNA. The record is from the annotation of a GenBank genome assembly. NCBI's taxonomy places the organism in Eukaryota, Metazoa, Chordata, Amphibia, Anura, Pelobatidae.